AAGUCGUAACAAGGUUUCCGUAGGUGAACCUGCGGAAGGAUCAUUACCUUUUGUGGGAGUGCACACUGUGCCUCCUGUUCCACCCGUGGCUCUUCGUGCCUUCUGUUUCCUCGGCAGGCUCGCCUGCCAGUAGGACUCUCUCCACUCCUGUAAUUGCAAUCAGCGUCUGACCAUGAUACUAUUACAACUUUCAACAACGGAUCUCUUGGUUCUGGCAUCGAUGAAGAACGCAGCGAAAUGCGAUAAGUAGUGUGAAUUGCAGAAUUCAGUGAAUCAUCGAAUCUUUGAACGCACAUUGCGCCCCUUGGUAUUCCAUGGGGCAUGCCUGUUCGAGCGUCAUAUGUACUCUCAAGCCUUGCUUGGUGUUGGGUGCUUGUCCUGUCGAGGGACUCGCCUUAAAGUCAUUGGCAGCCGGCAUGUCGGUCUUCACGCAGCACAUUUUUGCGGAGAAGCCUGCACGUCGGACGUUCCAUUAAGCUUUCCACCACUUUUGACCUCGGAUCAGGUAGGGAUACCCGCUGAACUUAA
Molecule: ribosomal RNA, 528 nt
Filed under: uncultured fungus
Lineage: Eukaryota; Fungi
Description: eukaryotic LSU rRNA
Rfam family: 5.8S ribosomal RNA (bases 186-339)
Source: RNAcentral